UCUCUCUCUCUGUCUCUGUCUCCGCUCACAAACAUCUAUAUUCACUGGUCCAGGUAUCCCUGCAUGGAAUCUCUCAUCCCACUCUUCUGAUACCUGGAAAAAAGAUAAGGCUUUGCUUGUGCGUCCACUUUGAUUUGAUGACCAGAGAGAGGGCUGAUUGACCUCCUGACCUCUUGUGAGGGGCGGUGCUCCUGGGUGUCCAGAGCCCCCCGUCGGAGGGUUAAUGAGCGCCGGCUGCUCGGGCCAUGGCUGGGGGACCAGACCAGAUGACCACUCUCUGCUUUGACUCAAACAUCCGUCUCCCCCUUUAUGAGCCGGUCAGAACUUCAGCAUAUCCUCAGUGUUGGACAUGGAGUCCUGCUGUGAGGGUCAUGGUGAGGUCAGCUGAGGUCGGCUUGCUUCGCCCACCAUCGUGAUGACCACUUCCAUUAAAUCAAAGCAGACCUACAGCUACAGGCAGUCCACUUACAGA
This is a long non-coding RNA of Austrofundulus limnaeus, 472 nucleotides long. RefSeq lists it as uncharacterized. The transcript is spliced from 3 exons. The record is from RefSeq and is a predicted model, not a curated record. Lineage: Eukaryota; Metazoa; Chordata; Actinopteri; Cyprinodontiformes; Rivulidae.